UACAGAGGUCUCAAGCGUUGUUCGGAAUCACUGAGCGUAAAGGGUGCGUAGGCGGCGGGGAAAGUCAGAUGUGAAAUCCGGAGGCUCAACCUCCGAAUGGCAUCCGAUACUACCUCGCUAGAGAUUUGUAGAGGAGCUUGGAAUUCUCGGUGUAGCAGUGAAAUGCGUAGAUAUCGAGAAGAACGCUCGCAGCGAAAGCGAAGCUCUGGGCAAAUUCUGACGCUGAUGCACGAAGGCUAGGGGAGCAAACGGG
RNAcentral lists this ribosomal RNA (253 nucleotides) under uncultured bacterium. RNAcentral describes it as "partial 16S ribosomal RNA". It matches the Rfam family "Bacterial small subunit ribosomal RNA", at positions 524 to 776 of the family's 1533-position model. The record is from RNAcentral.